GAUGAACGCUGGCGGCGUGCCUAAUACAUGCAAGUCGAGCGAACAGACGAGGAGCUUGCUCCUUUGACGUUAGCGGCGGACGGGUGAGUAACACGUGGGUAACCUACCUAUAAGACUGGGAUAACUUCGGGAAACCGGAGCUAAUACCGGAUAAUAUUUCGAACCGCAUGGUUCGAUAGUGAAAGAUGGCUUUGCUAUCACUUAUAGAUGGAUCUGCGCCGUAUUAGCUAGUUGGUAAGGUAACGGCUUACCAAGGCAACGAUACGUAGCCGACCUGAGAGGGUGAUCGGCCACACUGGAACUGAGACACGGUCCAGACUCCUACGGGAGGCAGCAGUAGGGAAUCUUCCGCAAUGGGCGAAAGCCUGACGGAGCAACGCCGCGUGAGUGAUGAAGGUCUUCGGAUCGUAAAACUCUGUUAUUAGGGAAGAAUAAACGUGUAAGUAACUGUGCACGUCUUGACGGUACCUAAUCAGAAAGCCACGGCUAACUACGUG
This 497-nucleotide ribosomal RNA is filed under the name uncultured bacterium. Its description in RNAcentral is "partial 16S ribosomal RNA". It matches the Rfam family "Bacterial small subunit ribosomal RNA", at positions 28 to 507 of the family's 1533-position model. The record is from RNAcentral.